Medicago truncatula (barrel medic) is the source of this 4001-nucleotide long non-coding RNA. RefSeq lists it as uncharacterized. The transcript is spliced from 2 exons. NCBI's taxonomy places the organism in Eukaryota, Viridiplantae, Streptophyta, Magnoliopsida, Fabales, Fabaceae. The record is from RefSeq and is a predicted model, not a curated record.
UGACCACUUUAUGAAUCUACAUCGUUCUCAACUGUUCCUUUUCUUUCUUUGUUUCUUUGAUCCUCUUUUUCUCUCUCUCUCUCAAGAGGCAAUGAUGACGAUAGUUUCGGAGUGUGGAUCGAGAUGGAUCGAUCGUCGUGGAAGAAUACUUGCCGAUGGCGUGGCAUUCACUGAGAUUGAAUCAAAAUGCAGUGCCGUCAUUCAUGGCGGUGGUUUUUCUCAACGAUUGAUCCCAUCUUUGUUUCAGAUCUGAGCCUCUGAAUUGGAUUGAAUUAACCAUGUUCUUGUUUUUGGAGUUAUCUUUAAUGCGAUGUUGGGUAGAGUUAUAUGGAAUGAAAGAUGUGAAUUUCUUUUUAGAUUCUAUUCAUUCAAUUUUCUCUCUUUUUUUCCAUACAUCAUCUAACCAACAAACUGUUGAUUAUUAUUCUUUCUUUUUGUAUAUUUUAUUUUAUUUUCUAUCCGAUUUAAGAACGGACUAAUCUGGAGUCCGUUCCACCAUUUGCUGGCAGAUCCAAUUGAAGUCAGAGCAGCAACAUAUAAGUUAUGUACUCCCUCCGUUUUAAAAUAUAAGCAAAAUUCAUUUUUUAGGUUCAUUCAAUUCUGAACCACAUACAUCAUUGAAUGAAUGAACCUAAAAAGUGAAUUUUACUUAUAUUUUGAAACGAAACGGAGGGAGUAUAGACUAGUCCAACACAAUAAUCUCUGGUACCAGAAGGAUUCAAAUCCGAGAUCUAGAGAGCAGUUCACUCAUAACAUCUGACAAACCUCUUUAUUUUUAAUUUUUUAUAUUCAUGAAUUUUUAUUUUUUCGUCGUUGUGCUAUUUGUUGACCAAACAAUUAAAUUGGUCUCUGUUUUUGUAAGCUAUUUUCAAAUAAGUCCGGACUCUUAAUAUUUCAAACUAGUCUCUGACAGAAAGUUUCACAAUCAGGUUUGUGUUUUUAUGUUUUUGUCACAUGACGAUGACCUAAUUGAGAAACUUUUGACAAAUAGAGGGACCAGUUUGAAAUAAAUAUUAAUAUAGUCGGGGACUAAUUUGAGAGUGACUUACAAAGACCGAGACCAAUUUGAUCGUUUGCUCGUUAUUUGUUAGAAUUGUUUUAUUUUUUUUAUCGGUUGUUCAUGGUAAUAUAUUGGUUUCGUGGUGAAACAUGUGUUGAUCAUGUUCCUACUCCAAUUUGAAAGUCACUUUAUUUGAUGUGUUUGAAACAUAUAUGACCAAUGCUUAAUUUAAUUUGAACUUUGCAAUAAAUAAAAGCUUUGUGAUGGCAAUUUCAAGCAUCAUAACAUUGAUUGCCUUGUUUUGUUAUUAGAUGAGCUUUCAGUUUCACUUUACACGAAGGUGUAGUUACAUGAUUAUUAUGUUAUUGCAGAACAUGGGAAACUGGGAAGAAUUGUGUUUCAAAGCAAACCCUUUUGAGGACAAAGAUUCAAGCUGUCAUGUUUCCAACAAUUGUAACAAAGAUGAUAACAAUGAUGGAUUUGCUUUGUUGUUUGGGUUAUAUUCAAAUUUCUUUUAAUUGUUUAACAUCUCUAUAGUAUCGACACUUUUGAUGAAGGUAUUUCCGUUGUCUGACAAGUGUUGUUGUUCAACACCGAUCAUAUGAUCACAUUGAAUUUUAUCAUUUUCUCAAAUUAUUAUUUGUGGCGACAUGUUAGGGUCAAUGCUUCAUAGUUUGACAUUUUCGUCCAGAUAAGAUUAUUCUGAUGAAAGCGGUUCAUGAUUCAUUGUAGCCUGAUAAAUAGUGUAUAUAUAUUUCAAUUACAUAAUUUUAGUGGUUCACUUGAAUGUGAUUCUAAGUUUCUUAUUUGUCCUGUAAAUUUUCGCAUUUGUUAUAUUGAACUGGAUAGAAUAGAAGUUCUUUUACAACCUUUAUGAUUUAGCCUGGAUUUAUAUCUAUAUCAAUUGGUUUUAAUGAAUAUUCUCACAAUCCAAACAGAAACGCACUCUUUCUGUGUUGUCCCAAUAAUUGUGUUUGGAGAAGUUGUGCCAUGUGCGUUCGAUAGUACAAAUUGAAAUAUAAUAAAAUGCCAACAGAGUUGACACCAUAUACCCUUGCAAAUGAAGAGGGUGGAGGAGUAGGUGCAGCUGCAGGCUUAGCUUUAGUCAGGUUAUCAUCGGAGGCCAGAGGAAGUGGUCGAUCAACGAUGUUUCAAAGAAGUACAGGAGCUGGUGGUUUCAAUUCAGCCGCCACAGUACUCAGAAGAUCAUUAGGAUUAGCAGUAAGACAGAAGACACAUGGUUUGGAUCACUACAUGGGCUUCCUGCAAAUUGUAAAACGUGCUGGAAAAUCGGCCGCAAUGCCACCAACCUUAGCAGUUUCAAGGUAAGUAGCAAUCACAACAUUAGGAUUUUGAGGUCUCCGCAAUGACAUUGUUACUGUAAUUUCGACCACAUUGGCAACAUUUUUUUACUUCAAGGUUCACAACGUAACCCUAACCACAGCCACAGUUUGAAACUAUGAUUAAUAGUGCACUUUUUUAGUUGUGAUAUUUGUUAAAUGAAUCAGCGAGGAACCUUGUAUUUAGUAUGUGAUUUGAAUUAAACCUUUGCAGGUGAAGGAAAGUAUGUUGUGGCUCUUUCUUCAUUUAGAAAGGAUUUUGUGGUAGAUAAAGUGCAAAAUUAUGGCUUGCUCUUAUCUGUUCUUUUUUAUUUCUUUCUUCUUUGAUUCUCUCUCUCUCUCUCUCUCUCUCUCUCAAGAGGCAAUGAUGAUAUUGGUUUUGGAGCGUGGAUCAAGAUGGAUCGAUCGUCGUGGCAUUAAUGCAAUGUUGCUUAGAGUUGUAUGGAAUGAAAGAUGUGAAUUUAUUUUUGGAUUCUAUUCAUUCAAUUUUCUCUCUUUCGUUCCAUACAUCAUCUAACCAACAAACUGUUAAUCUGGAGUCCGGUUCCACCAUCCGCUGGCAGAUUCAAUUGAAGUCAGAGCAGCAACAUAUAAGUUAUGUGCAGACUAUCCCAAACCAAUAAUCUCUGAUACCCGAAGGAUUCAAAUCCGAGAUCUAGAGAGCAGUGCACUCAUAAUCUGACAAACCCCUUUAUUUUUUAUUUUUUUAUAUUCACGAAUUUUUAUUUUUUCGUGUUUGUUUUAUUUGUUGACUAAACAAUGAAAAUGGUCUCUAUUUUUGUAAGCUAUUUUCAAAUUAGUCCCGACUCUUAUUAUUUUAAACUAGUCUCUGUCUUUAUCAAACACUGCUCAAUUGGGUUCAUGUCUCUAUGUUUUUGCCACAUGAUGAAGACCUAGUUGAGAAACUUUUGACAAAGAGAGAGACUAUUAAUAGAAUCGAGGACUAAUUUGAGAGUUACUUACAAAGAUAGGGACAAAUUUGAUCGUUUACUCGUUAUUUGUUUGAAAUUUUUAUUUUUUACUUGUCGUUCAUGGAAAUAUUGGGGGGCCGGGGGUUUUGGGUGUGGAGUGUUGUUUUUGGAGUGCAGCGGUGGGGGGCCGGGGGUUUUGGGCUUCUUGCUGUGUGUAAAUGUGGCCUGCUGGUGUCUUGAUGCUGAAGGGACUGGUUUUUUGGGUCCUGUCAUGGCUGCAAUUUUGCUGUUGCAGUGCUGGUGGUGGCCUGUCCUUUGGUGCGGUUUGUGGCUGCAGCAGUGGCAGUUAGCAGGUGCGGUUCUGUGUUAAGUGUUAUAGCUAAUGUUGUUAUUCAGCUUGCUUGACAGAUUAGUCAUUAUGAAGUACAUCUAUUCCAGACAGGUUUUAUGUCCCUUUUUCUUCCGAGUGGAUGACAAAAUCACGUAUGUAAUAGUGAUUUUAUGUCAUAAUAGGUCCUUAUUAUCACAAGAGAUUAUUCCAGUUAAACAGAAUAAGAAGUACAUGUAACUUCAAUGUAAAGGACUGACUUCCAUGAUCCGAAAUAUUGUCCGUUUGGUUUAUGUUGUCGGCAUCAUUAUAGCAGAAGUUUGAAUGCUGCCAUAAGUUUUGCUAUUCGAAGUUGUCGAAAAUGUCUUGUAAAAAAAAUUUGGCGAGAUUAAUGUCAUUUACAAUUAACAUGUUGGUUUCGA